Molecule: ribosomal RNA, 253 nt
Filed under: uncultured bacterium
Lineage: Bacteria
Description: partial 16S ribosomal RNA
Rfam family: Bacterial small subunit ribosomal RNA
Source: RNAcentral
CACAGAGGUGGCAAGCGUUGUUCGGAAUUACUGGGCGUAAAGGGCGCGUAGGCGGCCUUCUAAGUCGGACGUGAAAUCCCCAGGCUUAACUUGGGAACUGCGUCUGAUACUGGAUGGCUUGAAUCCGGGAGAGGGAUGCAGAAUUCCAGGUGUAGCGGUGAAAUGCGUAGAUAUCUGGAGGAAUACCGGUGGCGAAGGCGGCAUCCUGGACCGGCAUUGACGCUGAGGAGCGAAAGCCAGGGGAGCAAACGGG